This 2257-nucleotide small RNA is filed under the name Rattus norvegicus (Norway rat). RNAcentral describes it as "uncharacterized LOC108352745". The record is from RNAcentral. Lineage: Eukaryota; Metazoa; Chordata; Mammalia; Rodentia; Muridae.
UGCCUGUCGCCGAGCCUGGCAUCUCCGAGCCCCCGCGCGGGGGGCUGCCGCCCAGCGCUGAUUGACAGCCCGCCUCGCCAAUGCCUGGAGGGAGAAAGGAGGUACAGAUAUGCAACAAUAACUAUAUGGAGAUGUAUAUUAGACUCCUGGAGCUGAAUAUCACUGUGCAGAAGAUGGCUGAUGGUUUGAGUAUGGACGAGUGAAGACAUGGGACAGAAGCCCAGCCAGUCAGACAGCCUCAGAGGAUGCAGAACAGCCUGGGAACAGAGAGGAGGCUCAAGACAAUGAAAACCGAUACCACGGGAGGAAGCACUUCUGAAGGAGAAAUGGAUUCAGUUCCAACAGGCUUGGAGACAUUUAGCAAAAUAUAAAUAAAAAGAUAAGACAACGUGCUAAGUAAUCAUUAUUGAGGACCUUGCUGAGAACAUAUGAUGCCAGGCUGAGGAACGUGGGGUAUACCUACCUGGCAGGGCACCUAGCGCAGCACACUCGGGGCUCUGGAUUUAUGCCCCGCACCAGAGAGGGUAAAGGGAAUAAGGACAGACUGAGAAGGAGAGCAAGAGAAUCCUGCUUUCCUGAGACUCUGAGAGGGAAGAGCGAGUCUGGGUGGAACGCUCCCUCCACAGAGCCUUACCUGGACAGCCUACAUCCCAUGCGGAGCCGUGAAGACCCCUAGUGAGGCAUCUUUGUGGGAAGCAAAAGUAGUCAAGGAAGUUCUCACAUCAACUUUGUUGGCGCCAGUCUUACCCAGAGUCAGGCUGACAGGUCCAGGCCGUGCUCUCUUUAUCCUAUAGUCUCAUCUCCUAGGGCAUCUUAUGAAUGUGAAACAUGAGGAAAUAAAAAUGAGUCCCCUACAGAGAAAAGCCGUCGCACCUACCUGUAGGGGAAGACCAGGUGCUGGGGCCUGCCCUUCAGACUUGAGGCCUUAGCCAACGGCCAUUUACAGUCACCCUGACUGAGGUGGUUUGAAUGUUCUGGGCCCAUAGAGAGUGGUACCAUUAGGCUGUGUGGCCUUGUCAGAGGAAGUGUAUCACUGUGGGGGUGGGCUUUGGAGGCCUCCACCUAUGCUCAGGCUCUGCCCAUUGUGGCAAAGAUCUUUUUCCUAGCUGUCUGGGAUGGCAGUCUUCUGGCUGCCUUUGGAUCACAAUGUAGAACGUUAGGCUCCUCCAGCCCCAUGGCUGCCUGGAUGCUGCCAUGCUUCCUGCCAUGACAAUAAUGGCAGGAACUGUAAGCCAGUCCCAUUUAAACGUCAUCCUUGGUCAUGUCUCUUCAUAGCAAUGGAAACCCUAAGACACUAAGACAUGUCACCACACCUGACGACGCCAGUGUCUAGGAAGUGACUACUACCACCUUUGUGACCUUCAUCUUUUUACUGUCACAGCUACCAACCCCCAGGCCACAUCUCCCAUGUUACAGCUCCACUUCUCCGCACUUCGUUUGAAGUCUCUACUUUCCAUAGCUCUGACACUUUUGGGCUGCAGCUGCUACUUAACACCCUUGUCUGCUGCUCACCCUUCUUUCUCUGAAAUUCACCACUCUCUCCUGCCCUUUGAUCAGAGCUCAUGAUGAUCAGUGUGUUUUAGAUAGCUUGGGUUCUUUCUUUCAGUCACAUGUCCCUGGCAAAAUCCUGACCUGGGAUUUGCCUACGUCCCUCUUAAGCAAGUGGGCCUCACUGCCUUAUGGCAGCCCCACCCCUCCCUAGUCCUCAGGAAUGCUUGGUUAUUACUCUUCCCCUGCAGCCAGCUCGCUCCCUCAAGCCUCCCAGCCUCCCACUGCUUCUUCCUACUUACUGUGAAUGCAGUCAUCGCUGUGAGAACUUCCUGCUUAGUUCUCUGUUCACCUGAUCUCUGGUCUCCACAGAACACACUUAAGUCCCACAAAAGCAAGGACCGCGUCCAUUGUAAGUCCCUAGCAUGACGCUCGGAACCUUGUAGGUAAAGUGUUGAACUUUGGAUUGACUGAGCCAUCUGUAAGAUUUUGGCUAAGUCAGUCAUUUUUUGAAUGUAAGCAUCCUUUAUUCCAUUAAAUAUUUCUCUCAGAUUUAUAAAAUGAUUAUGAGAAACACUGAGUCAUUUCGUUUUGAAAACCGUAUGUUUAAACUUAGGUGUUUCCAUUUAGGUGGGUGUCUGUUAACUCCUUGCUAUGGAAGAUGAGGAAAUUAGCAUUCCCCACUUCCUUUUACUCCCCCCUUCCUGUUUUGACCAUGUCAUUAUAUAUUGGUGACAUUUGUAACAUAUAAACCUGUUCUGUAACUCUU